This 253-nucleotide ribosomal RNA is filed under the name uncultured bacterium. Its description in RNAcentral is "partial 16S ribosomal RNA". It matches the Rfam family "Bacterial small subunit ribosomal RNA", at positions 524 to 776 of the family's 1533-position model. The record is from RNAcentral.
UACGAAGGGGGCUAGCGUUGCUCGGAAUCACUGGGCGUAAAGCGCACGUAGGCGGAUUCUUAAGUCAGGGGUGAAAUCCUGGAGCUCAACUCCAGAACUGCCUUUGAUACUGGGAAUCUCGAGUCCGGAAGAGGUGAGUGGAACUGCGAGUGUAGAGGUGAAAUUCGUAGAUAUUCGCAAGAACACCAGUGGCGAAGGCGGCUCACUGGUCCGGUACUGACGCUGAGGUGCGAAAGCGUGGGGAGCAAACGGG